Molecule: ribosomal RNA, 250 nt
Filed under: uncultured Treponema sp.
Lineage: Bacteria; Pseudomonadati; Spirochaetota; Spirochaetia; Treponematales; Treponemataceae
Description: partial 16S ribosomal RNA
Rfam family: Bacterial small subunit ribosomal RNA
Source: RNAcentral
GUGGCGGACUGGUGAGGAACACGUGGGUAAUCUACCCUUAAGUUGGGGAUAGCUGCUAGAAAUAGCAGAUAAUACCGAAUACACUCGGUCUUUCAUAAGAGAGAUUGAGGAAAGAGGCUACGGCCUCGCUUGAGGAUGAGCUUGCGCCCCAUUAGCUAGUUGGUGAGGUAAAGGCUCACCAAGGCAACGAUGGGUAUCCGGCCUGAGAGGGUGAUCGGACACAUUGGGACUGAGAUACGGCCCAAACUCC